AUGGAAGAUGUGGCGGCGCCUCAGUCGGAGCCGACGGCCAGGGACUGGUCGCUGCUUCCCAUGGACGCCCUCGCCUCGAUCUUCGUCAGGCUCGGCGCCGUCGAGGUCCUCAUGGGCGCCGGCCUCGUGUGCCACUCAUGGCUCGAGGCGGCCAAGUUGCCAGACGUGUGGCGAACCGUGGUCUUUGAGAACCACAAGGUCUUGUACCAGAAGGAUGAAACUGUCGUCCGCGCGACGGCGAAGGCGGCCGUCGACCGUUCCGACGGACAGCUUCGGGUGUUCGCCGGGACGCGGUUUGUCAACGACGAGCUCAUGGAGUACAUCUUGGAAAGGUCGCCUUCACUGACAACCCUGCGGCUUGAAUUCUGUGGCUACGUCUUUACCAAACGACUCGUCAAUGCGAUAAGAGAGUCACCUCUGCUGCAGCUGCGUAAUCUGGAACUCGACGGCGCUUACAUAACCGUGGGUGAGCUGACGGACAUCCUUGAGAGCUGCCCUAUCCUGGAGGUUCUUCUGCUACGCCAUUGCCCCAUGAUCUACGACGACGAUGAGCCUGUCGAGACCAUGACGAUUGAUCGUGAUGACGAGAUGCUCUGGUUGUACUUUUCUGAUUGCGAGUACGACUAA
Molecule: ribosomal RNA, 627 nt
Filed under: Triticum aestivum (bread wheat)
Lineage: Eukaryota; Viridiplantae; Streptophyta; Magnoliopsida; Poales; Poaceae
Description: partial small subunit ribosomal RNA
Source: RNAcentral